RNAcentral lists this ribosomal RNA (969 nucleotides) under Dawsoniolithon conicum. RNAcentral's name for it is "partial large subunit ribosomal RNA". It matches the Rfam family "Eukaryotic large subunit ribosomal RNA", at positions 97 to 1157 of the family's 3401-position model. The record is from RNAcentral. Lineage: Eukaryota; Rhodophyta; Florideophyceae; Corallinales; Porolithaceae.
AGCGGGAUGAGACCGAGAUGAAAAUCCCUUCGGGGAGUUGUAAUCUGAUUUAUGUUGAGUGUUCAGUGAAUGUAAGUCACAUGGAAUUGUGUACCGUGGAGGGUGAGAGUCCCGUCCAGCAUUCACAGGAAUUUCUCGUACGACGUAAAUUCAACCGAGUCGGGUAGCUUGAGAUCGCUGCUCUAAUAGGUGGUAAACUUCAUCUAAGUCUAAAUACUGGUGGGAGACCGAUAGCGAACAAGUACCGUGAGGGAAAGAUGGAAAGCACUUUGAAAAGAGGGUGAAAAGUACCUGAAACCGCCACGGGGGAAGCGUAUUGUAUCAGUGUGGUGCGGUGUCUGUUCAGCAAACUUCGGUUUGUGUAUUCAGCACUAGCUGUGUCGGGAUGGCUGUUGGAUUAUGGAUGUUGCAUAGUCCGAUGGUGAGGGCUCCCUUCGGGUGAGGAUUUCGACAAAAUGAUACGAUUCGACCCGUCUUGAAACACGGACCAAGGAGUUUAGCAUUAAUGCGAGUCGAAGAGUGAUAAACUCAGAGGCGCAGUGAAAGCGAACAUUUGGAAACCUUAACAGGUUGAGGAGGUGUUGCGUCGUUGACAAAACAUCCUACCUAGAGCAUUAAUGCUGAGACCCGAAAGAUGGUGAACUAUGCCGGAGUAGGGCAAAGCCAGAGGAAACUCUGGUGGAGGCUCGUAGCGAUGCUGACGUGCAAAUCGCUCGUCGAACUUGGGUAUAGGGGCGAAAGACUAAUCGAACCAUCUAGUAGCUGGUUCCCUCCGAAGUUUCUCUCAGAUAGCGGGCCGACAGUGGGUUGUUUUGUGUGGUAAAGCGAAUGAUUAGCGUAUUUGGGGACGUAAUGUCUUCGGUCGAUUCUCAAACUUUAAAUACGCAAGAUAGAGAUGGUUGCUUAAGUGAACCUCUCUACUGAAAACGUCGGCCCUGUGGGCCACUUUUGGUAAGCAGAACUGGCGAU